CAGCAGUCGCCGCGGUAAUACGUAGGUGGCAAGCGUUGUCCGGAAUUAUUGGGCGUAAAGGGCUCGCAGGCGGUUUCUUAAGUCUGAUGUGAAAGCCCCCGGCUCAACCGGGGAGGGUCAUUGGAAACUGGGAAACUUGAGUGCAGAAGAGGAGAGUGGAAUUCCACGUGUAGAGGUGAAAUUCGUAGAUAUUCGGAAGAACACCAGUGGCGAAGGCGACUCACUGGCCCAUUACUGACGCUGAGGCGCGAAAGCGUGGGGAGCAAACAGGAUUAGAUACCCCUGUAGUCCCUGUCUCUUAUAC
RNAcentral lists this ribosomal RNA (304 nucleotides) under uncultured bacterium. RNAcentral describes it as "partial 16S ribosomal RNA". It matches the Rfam family "Bacterial small subunit ribosomal RNA", at positions 509 to 807 of the family's 1533-position model. The record is from RNAcentral.